UCUAAUUGAGCUUUUGUGUCCUUUUUUCAGUGUUGUAUACCGUUGAGUUCCAGAAGCGGGGACUGCCUCACGCGCAUAUACUUGUCUGGCGGAGAGGGGGUAACGAUGGCGAUGACUGAUCUGCAGGCUCUUGUUGUGGGGAACAAGAACCUGACCAUCCAUGUGUAUGUUUCGCGUCUGUGGCAGCAUUGUGGAUCCACUGAUAACAGUCCUAUCAAAGACACUGACAUGGUCCUUUUGGAUGUGUAGGGCAAACAUCUAUUCUGAGAUUGGUGAGAAGCUUGUGCCUAAGUUCAAUUGAGGCAACCACAUCCAUGUUGUUUCUUGGCAUGAGCAACCA
Molecule: long non-coding RNA, 340 nt
Organism: Triticum dicoccoides
Lineage: Eukaryota; Viridiplantae; Streptophyta; Magnoliopsida; Poales; Poaceae
Exons: 3
Source: RefSeq, a predicted model, not a curated record